This is a long non-coding RNA of Triticum aestivum (bread wheat), 2608 nucleotides long. RefSeq lists it as uncharacterized. The record is from RefSeq and is a predicted model, not a curated record. NCBI's taxonomy places the organism in Eukaryota, Viridiplantae, Streptophyta, Magnoliopsida, Poales, Poaceae. The transcript has 2 exons.
UUUAUCCCGGGCCGUCCGAUUACGAUCGGAGGGUCCGACACCUAGCAAAAACCCAUUUGCUAUAAAUAUGCAGGCAACCUUAAGCCCUAGUCGUCCCAUCCAUCCAUUCCAUUCCCGCAGCCGCCGCCACCCUCUCUCCCUUUUUCCUCGGGAGCUUGUCCCAUCGCUGCCUGUCUCCUUCAUCCUCGGGAUCCUUCCAGAUUUCCACCUGCCCAAUCCAUCGAUCCUCCCAACCAGCAGAUCACCCUGGCGCCUCUUCUCCCUGCCUUCCUCUUCUGCUCGAGCGCGCCGCUCGAGAGGAGCCCGCGGCCUCCACUCCGAAGCCUCGAGCAGCCAGCUGCCUCGACUGCAACAACUCCAUGACCUCCUGCAGCUGCCUCCCCGUCGUCAUCUUCAAGCUCGCUGCCUCUGUCUCACCCACCGGACCCUCGCUUCGCUUCGUCCGCUGCCGCAUCGAGCCGCUGCUUGUUUCCACCUCUAGUGCCGCCGUCGGCCACCUCCAAACAUCGAUGUGGACAGUCAGAUCCAGAUCGCAAGGCCCCCAUCACGCUAGUUCUUCCCCACCAAAGCUCCUUGCAGCCUCAACGCUCGGAGGCGCCCGAGGCCUCGACCUCCAUCACCGCGCCUCGCCUCGCUAUAGCAGUGCAUCGCCCGCGAGCCACGGACGAAGACCAGCAACAACCCUGCCGCUCUGUCUUCUGUUCUCUGUCUCAGGCUUGCUCUCGCUCUCCCGGUGCAGGAACCCCAUGGAAGCUCCGUCUCACCGCCGUUUUGCACCCGUUCCAGCUGGGAAUCGGAUGGACCCGUCUUCCUCGCGUCCGUCCCCUGCCUCUCCGCCUCGCUGGAGUCCAGCACAUCGCCGCUAGCUGCUCGCCACCGAGCGGAUCCGCCGCCGUUCGCGUCGCCUACCUCACCAAUGCUCGAUCUGCGCCGUUCACCUCCUGCCGUCGCCCGGAUCCGCGCCGCUCCGCCGCCUCGUCUCCGGCCCCUGCCCGCCGGAGUCACGCUUCCCUGUGCCCCACAGCCUCGCCGCGCCGCGCCUCUGCUUUGUUCGAGCAGGGACGAGACAACGAGUGCUGCUCACGUUGACCGCUCCAGCAACCAAGCCAAGGCCAGCGCCCCUUCGUUGACCAGAUUGAGCGCCUCGGCUCGAUCGCCUGUACCCGUGGGCCGGCCGCGCUGCCUCCCCGCGCGUUUCAGCCCAGCAGCCAGCCCACGGCCAUCGCUUCCAAACUGGGCAAGGCCCUUGGUGAGAACACAUGCGGCCCGUAUCAUUUUUUUUCCUAGUUCCGCGAAUUUGCUAAUUAUCCAGAGAAUGCUAGCUUUUCAGAAAACCCCCUAAGUUUCAUGCAUAUCAUAUCUCACAAACCAUGUAUCGGAUUAAAUGACACACACACACAUAUAUAUAUAGUAACACUAAACUAAGCGUGAGUGUAGAAUAGCUUAUUCUACAUCCCAGUAGCGGUACAUGCAAAAUAUAGUAAUUUCCGUAAAAAUAUACUAAAUUACAAACUUGAUAAGUAAAAGAAUAUUUUCUGGAUUACUACAUUUUAUACACCGUUUUACUAGAUUUUGUAUAUAGUACUACUAGGGUGUAGAAUAAGCUAUUCUAUAGUCACGCUUAUAUAUAUAAGAAUAAGUAAUUCUUCAUCCUGAGCCAACCUUUCUCUCAGUUUGAUCCCACCCACGUGUUGUACCUUGGAGGCUCCGACCCUCCACCGUUUUAUGACAAGCGAGGUAAAUUUUCUACGCGACGAGGUAAGUUUUCCCCUUUUCUUACGUUGGCAAAAACUGUUUUCUGUUCGUGGGGUUAGCCCACUCUGCCUCCUCCGAUCCAACUCUAAUCCCUGCGGUUUUCAGCGGCGACUCACUCGCGUUAGCUGGCUUCGGUGUGGUGGUCGACGACUCAGUGAGCGGCCAGUGGGAAAGAUGGCAUGGUGGUCGAGGGUUAGGUUGGUCGUCGUGGGGAUAUACGGUUGACCACUGGGGCACGACGGCGUGGUGCUCGGUGGCCACGGCGGUGAGGUGAGCGCGACAUGGCAAGGAUGUUGGGAAGCGUAGCUUGUGGUGGUCUGCUGGCCGCGGCGACAGUUCAGGUGGUGUUGGUGGCUCUGUGAGUAGUGCUAGCGGUGGCUCUGGUUUAGACCACGACCGCUUCGUCCUAUCCUCCGGUCGGCUGCCACGGCUGCUUGCUCCAGUACGUGCUGGUAACUUAUAUCUCCGACCAAGGGCUUGCCUCGGCACCCUUACAAACUCGAGAUCCCGACUACGAGAGCUCUCCGUAAUGUGUGCACAUAUUGGCUUGAGUUCGGGCAAGAUUGGUAGUGUGUCGGUGUUGUCGUGGUGGAUGUAGUGCUAACCUCUUGGUGUAGCAUUGUGCCGGAAGGUGUUGUAUCGGCCAUCUUGACCUCUUCUUCUAUGCAUAUAUGAUAUGCAUGUUCGUGCGUAUUCUAGAAAAAAAAGAGGCUCAACAAAAUGUACUCUUUUUCAUGUGCAUAUACCUCUUGGGAACUUCAAUGAAAACCGGAAGAUUUUGUCUUCUGGUUGUUCUUCGUGGUACUACUACUCGUUCUAUACAGAUAAAAAGAAAUCUAUGUGUACAAGAAUA